AUUGAACGCUGGCGGCAGGCCUAACACAUGCAAGUCGAACGGUAACAGUAAGAAGCUUGCUUCUUUGCUGACGAGUGGCGGACGGGUGAGUAAUGUCUGGGAAACUGCCUGAUGGAGGGGGAUAACUACUGGAAACGGUAGCUAAUACCGCAUAACGUCGCAAGACCAAAGAGGGGGACCUUCGGGCCUCUUGCCAUCGGAUGUGCCCAGAUGGGAUUAGCUAGUAGGUGGGGUAACGGCUCACCUAGGCGACGAUCCCUAGCUGGUCUGAGAGGAUGACCAGCCACACUGGAACUGAGACACGGUCCAGACUCCUACGGGAGGCAGCAGUGGGGAAUAUUGCACAAUGGGCGCAAGCCUGAUGCAGCCAUGCCGCGUGUAUGAAGAAGGCCUUCGGGUUGUAAAGUACUUUCAGCGGGGAGGAAGGGAGUAAAGUUAAUACCUUUGCUCAUUGACGUUACCCGCAGAAGAAGCACCGGCUAACUCCGUG
This 490-nucleotide ribosomal RNA is filed under the name uncultured bacterium. RNAcentral describes it as "partial 16S ribosomal RNA". It matches the Rfam family "Bacterial small subunit ribosomal RNA", at positions 30 to 507 of the family's 1533-position model. The record is from RNAcentral.